Molecule: long non-coding RNA, 4747 nt
Filed under: Homo sapiens (human)
Lineage: Eukaryota; Metazoa; Chordata; Mammalia; Primates; Hominidae
Description: PREDICTED lncRNA (TCONS_00160897)
Source: RNAcentral
GUUCCAAUGAGAAUGAAGGCUGAGGUGUGCGCCUUUUUUUUUUUUCCUUCUUAGUCGUGUGUACAUCAUUGGGAAUGGAGGGAAAUAAAUGACUGGAUGGUCGCUGCUUUUUAAGUUUCAAAUUGACAUUCCAGACAAGCGGUGCCUGAGCCCGUGCCUGUCUUCAGAUCUUCACAGCACAGUUCCUGGGAAGGUGGAGCCACCAGCCUCUCCCUGACAAGCAAAGUGGAUCAGCAAAGGCUGCAGUCACCAGCAUCUUUUCCAACCUUAAUGAACUGUAUCCUCAAAAGAACACUAUCAGACUGGUAAGACAAGCAUUAUUGUCCCACUUCACAGAUGAAGAGCUUGGGGGCCCUGUGGAUGUGUAGGAGAGUCGGCCUUCCUUUUUAUAGGCCUUUUGCUGAGCUCAGAGGACAGAGCAGAAGACAAAGCCGAAUGCAGCCCUAAGCAGACACUAUCCCAGCCCAAGGAGCUAUGCAGACAGCUCCUGCCUAGAGGAGAAACAAUUCUCUCCUUCAGCCAGGCAUGUGGCACAGAGGUGAACAGGAAAUGCUUAGGGAGACAGUUCACAGAUAUAUAUGUACUUCACAGGGCACAAUUUAAUCCAUAAAUCAAUCAUGGAUCACCGCUAAAGAAAACAAAAUAUGCUGCCACUAAUUUGCCACCACCCUGUGAGCAUGAUUGGAUGAUGUUUAUUUUGAUUAGGAGAUUGCUCCAUUUAUAAAUCUUCAAUACAUCCUGUCCCCCUAAAACGGCAUCUGGGUCUUUUGAGGGUUAAAAAAAAAAAAAAGUGAAAUUGGAUGAGGGAUGAGAGCUGGACUUCUGUGUGUCCCGGGGUCCCUGGAUCCACAGCCUGGUGCCUAGCAUCAGUUAAGCCCACGCUGGGGUCGCAUCACAUCCCGCAAAGCCACGUGCUCUGUGAGGCCAACAGGAGCCCCGCCGGGUGGACCAGCUGGAAUCUCAGAGAGCGCCGACUCUGAAACUACCCGGCUCUGCAGAAGCACGCUGGGCCCAGGGGCUUCUAGACUGACAGCUCCAUUUAUCAACUACCUAUUGGUUUUAAAAAUUGGAGUGUCUUUUCCGCGUUGACUGAUUUUGGCUCUAAGAGAUGUCGCUGGUCAUUUCAGAGUGACUGAACCUCCCCUCUAACAGAUCCCGGGAAUUGUUUUCAGGAAAGGUAAAAGGCAGCCUUUUCUGUCACAACACAACGCUGAGCCGGCAGCCUGGCUCUGUCAGGAUCUGGGGCUCCCGCGCCCGAGAAGCCCAGCCUCGCCGGCGGCCAAGUUCACCGCGAGGCCCCGCGCUGCCUGCGCUGCGCUCCCGGACCCGCACCGACCGCAGCGCGCGCCGCCGGUGCUUCUCCCACCCCAGCCUGGAAGCUGCCUCCCUCCGCCUAUGCCUGCAGGAUAAGAAGCCCGAGGAGGCGGAGCAUGGAACUCGACAGUUAAAACAUUUAAGAGAGAAAACCUAGUGUCUUGCUGGCCUGAAAUCGAGUACGCAGCCCGGGGUGAUCAGGGUCUCCCGGCCCGGAUGUGUGAGACUUGCUUCCCCUGGGCAAUAGGCGAUACGAUGCUUUAGGAGGAAGGUGUCUCUCCCUCCUAAGCCCCGGAGGGGAGAACUUCCAAAGACAGAAAACCACAGGCUUCCUGGCACAGAGCUUUCCCUUUAUCAGCUAAAGCAGAAUCUUUUCUGGCCUUAACCUGGCCCCUUCCUCUAACUGCAGGCAGAGAGGCAGACAGAAAAGCACUUGCUGAAACACAAAGUUUUGUUCUGUCCUCAACGAACUGUCUAGAGCUGAUUGCUGAUAGUCGUGGUGCAUUAUGCCUUCCUGGUUUUCAUUUAAUUGGGCACCACGCUGCCUUUCAAGACGCCUUAAAGGAACCAACAACCAAAUCCAAGAGAGCUGGACAGACCAUUGAACACACAGUAGGCUGUGUCUCGUGGCUUUCGUUGUCUGGUGCCUCAAAGAAAACACCAGAAAGAUUGUUUCUAAGCUAGAGCCACCCCAGAUUGCUUAAAGUGCAAAGCUCACUGCUGUUGGGGGUACCCUUGUGAGACACUGGAAAGCUGGUUUUACCGUGGCCCUAUGAAGAGGAAGACUGAAAUUUAGACAGUAAUACCUUUACUAGGAUUGGAAAAGAUUUGGUUAAUGACAGCCCUGUCAUUUCUAAAACCCAUUAUCACUGUAUGAGAGAUUCCUUUGCGCUGCAUCCUCGACAGUGCUUCCUAAGGCUCUGCCGACUUCCAGUUCUGGAACAAGAUGGUUAAACUCAUUUUUCCCUGCUCUGCUCCUCUAAAUACAACUAAGUACCUUGGAAACUAUUCAGCAGACAAUGAUAAAGGGCUCUGAAAGCUAGAAGAAAAGGUGUACUUGCAAGAAACCUCAGGACUUGAGUAACAGCAACAUGGCAGGCCAGAAAGCAGACCCAGGGAGGAUAGCACAUGUCUUCGGCUACACUGGUGAAGGCAUCGUGCCUGCUCCACAGCACAUUUUUAUUCAAGAACAAUCCAUUUCACAGAUGAAGAAACAGACUCAGUGAGCACGUGAUCACUUCUCACAACUAAUGGAGCCAAGAUUCUGUCCUUAUGGCUCCAGAGACCUCUUUUUUUUCCCACUGUACCACAACACUCACCAGGACUGGAGUGCCACCUAUGACCUCAUUGCAUAAUGGAUGGCUUGUCCUCAAAUGGGCCCGGCUGGAGGUACCAUGCACCUUUGAGGGACCAAGGACCCAAGACUUGAGGUAGACACUAUUCCCAGCUGGAUACUCUCAAUGUUGAGGAUAUAGAUGCACAAACCAAUGCAGGGAGGCCUCCAGGAGCCACUGGAGAAGAAAUCUUCAGAUCCUACCAGGCCCAUAGCUGUUGCCUUUGUGGGCUCCUGGGUUAAUUUCCACACAUCAGUGGCCCACCUUAUGAUAUCCUCCCUGCAUGCCACACUCCCGGCCAUGCUCUGUGGACAGCCAUUAUUUCCAGUAAUUGCUAAUGGGAGCCAGUCUCCAAAGAGUAAUGAAUCAGAGGUGUUCCUUGGAAUGUGUUACACUAGGACUUCGCCGAUCUCACAGGCUCCUUUCCAGAUGAGCUGACUGUAAUCUCUGGGAAGCUGGAUCUGGAGGAACAAUGGGAUGGGAUUUGCGGUGACCCUUCCUGCCCUUCUUGAGCAGCUUGUGAACCAGAAGAUGUGCCUGGAGAGAAAGCCUCAUUUGGGGAAGUGCAGUAGUCGAAGUUCUUUAUUUUGAAAAUGGAGAACAACCCUUCUCACAAUCCUGUCUCCCCUUCCCCCUUUCCAACUAGAAUAUCAGCUCCCCUGAACAUGAGUCAGUCACAUUUCAGGGAAAACUGGCUGAUGUUGAAGAAAUCACUUGAGGGCAAACUUUGUCCUUCAAGCUGUGGGUCUCUGAAGUGUAGAGCCAGCAGAUCCCCCAGUGUAGGGACUGGGCCUUCCUUGCCCAUUGAAUGCUUUCUAUACAUGAAGACUUGGAGCUCUUUACAGAUGACAGUAGCCAGUGAGGAAGAUAAAAGAAGAGAAAAGACCCAAAAUGCGGGUUUGCCACUCUUUUUUGCCAGCACCGUGGGGACAGUCACUCUGCCUUCUUUCCACCACCUCCAACUUCACACUCACACGCACACUCUGGUCCCACAGAGCCUGUUUGGUACUUGCCUGACAGCCCACCUUGAAACCAGAUGGUCAUGAACCUGUCACCAAGUCAUCUGAAGAUCUUCCACUGCAACCUGUAUGGCAUCUGCCACAGGGACCAUGGGACAUGAUUGAAGAACCACUCCAGUGCAGUUGAUGAAGGGGUGGGUCUGCACUGGAGUUAGGUGCACCAGGGCCUGGGCCAAGGGUGGGCUGGGUCCAUCUUGUGUGUGGUGGUCUUCUUCAGAGUAGCAGCUGAUUCAGAGGGAUUCCAUAGAACUGCACAGGCUAGGUCUAGUCAGAUAUCUUGGACAUUUUCUAUUUCUAGAUUAGAGAAUAUAGCAUACGCUGAUUUUAAUAUAACUGUGUAUGUGACUUUUUCAGUGAGAAAAAUUUUAAGUGAUGUUCUAAACAAUUUUUGGCAUGUAGACAGAAUAGUCAAAUAUCUGUUUAACUAGCAACAUAGUUACUCGUGCAUAUUUAAAAUACUACAUGAGUAUGGCCUGGCACAGUGGCUCAUGCCUGUAAUCCUAGCACUCUGGGAGGCCGAGGUGAGCAUAUUGCCUGAGUUCAGUUUGAGACCACUUUGGACAACAUGGUGAAACCCUGACUCUAUAAAAAUACAAAAAUGUAGCCAGGUGUGGUGGUGCGUGCCUGUAGUCCCGGCUACUUGGGAAGCUGAGGUGCAAGAAUUGCCUGAACCUGAGAGGCAGAGGUUGCAGUGACCUGAGAUUGUGUCACUGCACUCCAGCCUAGGUGACAGAGCAAGACUACAUCUCAAAAAAUAAAACAAAAUAAAAUAGGCCCUGUGCCGUGGCUCACGCCUGUAAUUCCAGCAUUUUGGGCAGCUGAGGCGGGCAGACCACCUGAGGUCAGGAGUUCAAGACCAGCCUGACCGACAUGGUGAAACCCCAUCUAUACUAAAUACAAAAAAUUAGCCAGGUAUGGUGAUGCAUGCCUGUAGUCCAAGCUACUUGGGAGGCUGAGGCAGGAGAGAAUGGCUUCAACCUGGGAGGCAGAGGUUGCAGUGAGCCGAGAUUGCGCCACUGCACUCCAGCCUGGGUGAUAGAGCAAGACUUCGUCUCAAACAAUAAAAUAAUAAAAUAAAAU